Molecule: small nucleolar RNA, 150 nt
Organism: Myripristis murdjan (pinecone soldierfish)
Lineage: Eukaryota; Metazoa; Chordata; Actinopteri; Holocentriformes; Holocentridae
Product: small nucleolar RNA U109
Source: Ensembl
UUGCAUGUUUUGGCCCAUGGCCACUGUUGGCCACUCUCUAUUUUUGGAGUGUGGACAAAUACAAACAUGCUAGAUAAAAACACAUGGAGUUAACAGGGCCACCAGUCUCUCAAGGACAGACUGAGUUGGUAGUAUAAUACUCCAACAUUC